Molecule: long non-coding RNA, 883 nt
Filed under: Homo sapiens (human)
Lineage: Eukaryota; Metazoa; Chordata; Mammalia; Primates; Hominidae
Description: non-protein coding lnc-ZNF680-30:1
Source: RNAcentral
AUGAUACUAUUAAAAAUUGCCCUUUUUUUCCAAGCCGGUAUUAGACUCACAGCCAACACCUUCCUCCUUUUCUUCUGUAUCUGCACACUCCCUCUGGACUGCAGGUCUAAGCCCACUGACCUCAUCACCUGUCACCUGGCCCUUGUCCACUUAGUGAUGCUCCUCACUGUGAGCUUCUUGGCAUCUCCAGACCUGUUUGAGUCACAGUAUUUUCAGAAUGACUUCAAGCGUAAGGUAUUCUACAUGCAUAGAGGGAUGAGGGCUCUCCAUCUGUACCACCUGCUUCCGGAGUAUGUUCCAGGCUGUCACCAUUAGCUCCAGCACCUCCUGGUCGGCAAGAAUUAAACAGAAAUUCACACGUUGCAUCUUUCACUUCUUUGGGUUCUCAAUUUGUUUCUCAGUAAUAACCUGCCCUCCUCCACUGUGGCCUCUUCUAAUGUGACCAAUAGCAACGUGCUAAGUAUCAGUAAAUACUGUUCACUUUCUUACAUAAGGGACAACAUCAGGAGCCUGUUUUUCAUGCUGCCACUACUUACAGAUGUCUUCUUUGUAGCAAUCAUGUUUCUCUCAAGGGCAUACAUGGUAAUUAUUUUGUCCAGACAUCAGAGACAACCCCAGUACCUUCCCAGCACCAACCUCUCUGCAAAAGCCUCCCCAGAGAAAAGGGCCACACAGACCAUUCUGUUGCUGGUGAGUUGCUCUGUGGUCAUGUACUGGGUGGACCUUAUCAUCUCAUCAUCCUCAACCCUGUUAUGGGCUUAUGACUCAGUCAUCGUGGGUGUCCAGAUGCUUGUGGGCAAUUUCUGUUAGCCCUUUUAUGCUAAUUAGUUCUGAUAAAAGAAUAAUCAAAAUUUUGCAUAAUGUGUGAUAUAAAUAUCAUAGA